GACGAACGCUGGCGGCGUGCCUAAUACAUGCAAGUCGAACGCAGUGGGGACGGGUGAGUAACACGUGGGUAACCUCCCAUCAGAGGGGAUAACACUUGGAAACAGGUGCUAAACCGAUACUGAUGGAUGGACCCGCGGUGCAUUAGCUAGGUGGUGAGGUAACGGCUCACCAAGGCCACGAUGCAUAGCCGACGUUGGAGGAUGAUCGGCCACACUGGAACUGAGACACGGCCCAGUCUCCUACGGGAGGCAGCAGUAGGGAAUUUUCGUGAAUGGACGAAAGUCGGACCGAUCAACGCCGCGUGCGCGAAGAAGGUUUUCGGAUCGUAAAACUCUGUUGUUAGAAAAGCGGUAUCUAACCAGAAAGCCACGGCUAACUACGUGCCAGCAGCCGCGGUAAUAC
Molecule: ribosomal RNA, 403 nt
Filed under: uncultured bacterium
Lineage: Bacteria
Description: partial 16S ribosomal RNA
Rfam family: Bacterial small subunit ribosomal RNA
Source: RNAcentral